RNAcentral lists this ribosomal RNA (489 nucleotides) under uncultured bacterium. RNAcentral's name for it is "bacterial SSU rRNA". It matches the Rfam family "Bacterial small subunit ribosomal RNA", at positions 28 to 533 of the family's 1533-position model. The record is from RNAcentral.
GACGAACGCUGGCGGCGUGCCUAACACAUGCAAGUCGAACGAAGAAUGUUUUUCGGAAUAUUCUUAGUGGCGGACGGGUGAGUAACGCGUGAACAAUCUGCCCCGUACAAAGGGAUAGCCUCGGGAAACCGGGAUUAAAACCAUAUAACGCUUUAGUACCGCAUGGUAAUAAAGUCAAAUCGAUUAAGAGGUAUGGGAUGAGUUCGCGUCUGAUUAGCUAGUUGGUGAGGUAAGGGCUCACCAAGGCGACGAUCAGUAGCCGGCCUGAGAGGGUGAACGGCCACACUGGAACUGAGACACGGUCCAGACUCCUACGGGAGGCAGCAGUGGGGAAUAUUGCACAAUGGAGGGAACUCUGAUGCAGCGACGCCGCGUGAGUGAAGAAGGUCUUCGGAUCGUAAAACUCUGUCCUUGGUGAAGAAAAGGACGGUAGCCAAGGAGGAAGCCCCGGGCUAACUACGUGCCAGCAGCCGGGUAAUCACGAGAGUA